UACGUAGGGUGCAAGCGUUAAUCGGAAUUACUGGGCGUAAAGCGUGCGCAGGCGGCUUUGCAAGACAGAUGUGAAAUCCCCGGGCUCAACCUGGGAACUGCAUUUGUGACUGCAUGGCUAGAGUGCGGCAGAAGGGGAUGGAAUUCCGCGUGUAGCAGUGAAAUGGGUAGAUAUGCGGAGGAACACCGAUGGCGAAGGCAAUCCCCUGGGCCUGCACUGACGCUCAUGCACGAAAGCGUGGGGAGCAAACAGG
RNAcentral lists this ribosomal RNA (253 nucleotides) under uncultured bacterium. RNAcentral describes it as "partial 16S ribosomal RNA". It matches the Rfam family "Bacterial small subunit ribosomal RNA", at positions 524 to 776 of the family's 1533-position model. The record is from RNAcentral.